AUACGUAGGGGGCGAGCGUUGUCCGGAAUGAUUGGGCGUAAAGGGCGUGUAGGCGGCGGUGUAAGUCUGGAGUGAAAGUCCCGCAUUCAAUGUGGGAAUUGCUUUGGAUACUGCAGUGCUAGAGUGCGGAAGAGGUAAGUGGAAUUCCCAGUGUAGCGGUGAAAUGCGUAGAGAUUGGGAGGAACACCAGUGGCGAAGGCGACUUACUGGGCCGUAACUGACGCUGAGGCGCGAAAGCGUGGGGAGCGAACAGGAUUAGAUACCCUGGUAGUCCACGCGGUAAACGAUGAAUGCUAGGUGUUGCGGGUAUCGACCCCUGCAGUACCGGAGUACACACAAUAAGCAUUCCGCCUGGGGAGUACGGCCGCAAGGUUGAAACUCAAAUGAAUUGACGGGG
Molecule: ribosomal RNA, 397 nt
Filed under: uncultured bacterium
Lineage: Bacteria
Description: partial 16S ribosomal RNA
Rfam family: Bacterial small subunit ribosomal RNA
Source: RNAcentral